Small nucleolar RNA from Lycium barbarum (goji berry), 96 nucleotides. RefSeq annotates it as small nucleolar RNA Z43. Lineage: Eukaryota; Viridiplantae; Streptophyta; Magnoliopsida; Solanales; Solanaceae. The transcript has a single exon. The record is from RefSeq and is a predicted model, not a curated record.
GGCCGAUGAUUAAACUUAUCUUAUAGACAAGCACGUAAUGAUGUUAAAUCCACCUUGUCGACCAUUCUGAUAUAUCACCAUCCAUAAACUGAGUCC